RNAcentral lists this long non-coding RNA (570 nucleotides) under Setaria viridis. RNAcentral's name for it is "long non-coding RNA (SVIR_LNC004254)". Lineage: Eukaryota; Viridiplantae; Streptophyta; Magnoliopsida; Poales; Poaceae. The record is from RNAcentral.
GUGGGUCCCGCAGCUGAUAGGUGGGGCUCACAAAAAGAACAUCCAUCCCAACCCUUUCAACCUCUUCAACCAAACAAAAACUGGAUCGGCUCCAACCAAACAAAAACUGGAUCGGCUCCAACCCACUCAUCCAAACAUGAGAUGGGUCGGCUCCAACCCAACCCACAUCGUCCCAAAACCAAAUGCUACCUAAGGUUCUACGACAUAUAAAUACCUACAAAUGCAAUGCACUUCAACUUCCGAUUCAUGUUUAAUUUCUUCAAUUGGGAGUUGAAACGCGGAUGCGGGCACGAGUAUUCCCAUCCAACUCGUUUGACUUCUCGUCUCCCCUAGUAACGAUUUAGAUUCGUGCCAGCACAAAAAAUAAUCAGCACAGAUAAUUUGGCUUAUGUGCUGGCCUUUGAUUAGCCCCAACACGGAUAUUAAUCGUAUCGAUAUUUAUCAUCUGAACCGGUGGCCCCCCUUGUAGGCUUUAGGCCCGGCGCAGAUGAGGCCCUCUACAGUAUUAUGAUCAUCUCUUUGGGCAAACCCAAUAGGCAAUAACCGCCUGCCACGAUCGUACACCCUCCC